GAUGAAGAACGCAGCGAAAUGCGAUAAGUAAUGUGAAUUGCAGAAUUCAGUGAAUCAUCGAAUCUUUGAACGCACAUUGCGCCCGCCAGUAUUCUGGCGGGCAUGCCUGUUCGAGCGUCAUUACAACCCUCAGGCCCCCGGGCCUGGCGUUGGGGAUCGGCGGAGCCCCCCGUGGGCACACGCCGUCCCCCAAAUGCAGUGGCGGUCCCGCCGCAGCUUCCAUCGCGUAGUAGCUAACACCUCGCGACUGGAGAGCGGCGCGGCCACGCCGUAAAACACCCAACUCUUCUGAAGUUGACCUCGAAUCAGGUAGGAAUACCCGCUGAACUUAAGCGUAUCAAUAAGCGGAGGA
RNAcentral lists this unclassified non-coding RNA (352 nucleotides) under soil metagenome. Its description in RNAcentral is "partial contains 5.8S ribosomal RNA, internal transcribed spacer 2, and large subunit ribosomal RNA". The stretch from base 1 to 120 matches the Rfam family "5.8S ribosomal RNA", at positions 35 to 154 of the family's 154-position model. The record is from RNAcentral.